GAUGAAGAACGCAGCGAAAUGCGAUAAGUAAUGUGAAUUGCAGAAUUCAGUGAAUCAUCGAGUCUUUGAACGCACAUUGCGCCCCCUGGUAUUCCGGGGGGCAUGCCUGUCCGAGCGUCAUUGCCGCCCUCAAGCACGGCUUGUGUGUUGGGCCCCCGCCCCCCGGCUUCGGGGGGCGGGCCCGAAAGGCAGCGGCGGCACCGCGUCCGGUCCUCGAGCGUAUGGGGCUUCGUCACCCGCUCUGUAGGCCCGGCCGGCGCCCGCCGGCGACCCCAAUCAAUCUUUCCAGGUUGACCUCGGAUCAGGUAGGGAUACCCGCUGAACUUAAGCAUAUCAAAAGCGGAGGA
RNAcentral lists this unclassified non-coding RNA (347 nucleotides) under soil metagenome. RNAcentral's name for it is "partial contains 5.8S ribosomal RNA, internal transcribed spacer 2, and large subunit ribosomal RNA". The stretch from base 1 to 120 matches the Rfam family "5.8S ribosomal RNA", at positions 35 to 154 of the family's 154-position model. The record is from RNAcentral.